UGAUGAACUUAAAUCUUUUAUGA
Molecule: small nuclear RNA, 23 nt
Filed under: Arabidopsis thaliana (thale cress)
Lineage: Eukaryota; Viridiplantae; Streptophyta; Magnoliopsida; Brassicales; Brassicaceae
Description: snRNA_15978
Source: RNAcentral